Gorilla gorilla gorilla (western lowland gorilla) is the source of this 109-nucleotide ribosomal RNA. The record is from Ensembl. NCBI's taxonomy places the organism in Eukaryota, Metazoa, Chordata, Mammalia, Primates, Hominidae.
GUCUACAGCCAUACCACCCUGAACACGCCCAAUCUCAUCUGAUCUCAGAAGCUAAGAAGGGUCAGGCCUGGUUAGUACUUGGAUGGGAGUAUGAUGUUAGCUGUGGGCU